Molecule: ribosomal RNA, 495 nt
Filed under: uncultured bacterium
Lineage: Bacteria
Description: bacterial SSU rRNA
Rfam family: Bacterial small subunit ribosomal RNA
Source: RNAcentral
AACGAACGCUGGCGGCGUGGAUAAGACAUGCAAGUCGAGCGCUGAUUACAGGGUAGCAAUAUUCUGUAGUUGGAGCGGCGCAAGGGUGCGUAACACGUGGGUAAUCUGCCAUGAAGUUUGGAAUAACUCGCUGAAAGGCGAGCUAAUGCCGGAUGUGAAAGCUGGGAGGCAUCUCUUGGUUUUCAAAGCUGGGGACCGUAAGGCCUGGCGCUUCAUGAUGAGCCCGCGGCCUAUCAGCUAGUUGGUAAGGUAACGGCUUACCAAGGCUAAGACGGGUAGCUGGUCUGAGAGGACGACCAGCCACACUGGAACUGAGACACGGUCCAGACACCUACGGGUGGCAGCAGUCGAGAAUUUUUCACAAUGGGCGCAAGCCUGAUGGAGCGACGCCGCGUGGGGGAUGAAUGGCUUCGGCCCGUAAACCCCUGUCAUUUGCGAUCAACCGUUGUUGUUUAAGAGAUGACAACCUGAUAGUAGCGAAAGAGGAAGGGACGG